This 499-nucleotide ribosomal RNA is filed under the name uncultured bacterium. Its description in RNAcentral is "partial 16S ribosomal RNA". It matches the Rfam family "Bacterial small subunit ribosomal RNA", at positions 29 to 523 of the family's 1533-position model. The record is from RNAcentral.
AUUGAACGCUAGCGGGAUGCUUUACACAUGCAAGUCGAACGGCAGCGCGGACUUCGGUCUGGCGGCGAGUGGCGAACGGGCGAGUAAUGUAUCGGAACGUGCCCAGUAGCGGGGGAUAACUACGCGAAAGCGUAGCUAAUACCGCAUACGCCCUACGGGGGAAAGGGGGGAUCGCAAGACCUCUCACUAUUGGAGCGGCCGAUAUCGGAUUAGUUAGUUGGUGAGGUAAAGGCUCACCAAGGCGAGGAUCCGUAGCUGGUUUGAGAGGACGACCGGCCACACUGGGACUGGGACACGGCCCAGACUCCUACGGGAGGCAGCAGUGGGGAAUCUUUGACAAUGGGGGCAACCCUGAUCCAGCCAUCCCGCGUGUGCGAUGAAGGCCUUCGGGUUGUAAAGCACUUUUGGCAGGGAAGAAAAGUUACGGGCUAAUACCCUGGAGCGAUGACGGUACCUGCAGAAUAAGCACCGGCUAACUACGUGCCAGCCGCCGCCGUAA